RNAcentral lists this ribosomal RNA (489 nucleotides) under uncultured bacterium. RNAcentral's name for it is "partial 16S ribosomal RNA". It matches the Rfam family "Bacterial small subunit ribosomal RNA", at positions 30 to 506 of the family's 1533-position model. The record is from RNAcentral.
AUUGAACGCUGGCGGCAGGCCUAACACAUGCAAGUCGAACGGUAACAGGAAACAGCUUGCUGUUUCGCUGACGAGUGGCGGACGGGUGAGUAAUGUCUGGGAAACUGCCUGAUGGAGGGGGAUAACUACUGGAAACGGUAGCUAAUACCGCAUAACGUCGCAAGACCAAAGAGGGGGACCCUCGGGCCUCUUGCCAUCGGAUGGGCCCAGAUGGGAUUAGCUUGUUGGUGGGGUAACGGCUCACCAAGGCGACGAUCCCUAGCUGGUCUGAGAGGAUGACAGGCCACACUGAAACUGAGAAACGGGCCAGCCGCCUACGGGAGGCAGCAGGGGGGAAUAUUGCACAAUGGGCGCAAGCCUGAUGCAGCCAUGCCGCGGGUUUGAAGAAGGCCUUCGGGUUGUAAAGUACUUUCAGCGGGGAGGAAGGGAGUAAAGUUAAUACCUUUGCUCAUUGACGUUACCCGCAGAAGAAGCACCGGCUAACUCCGU